Molecule: ribosomal RNA, 397 nt
Filed under: uncultured Neocallimastigomycetes
Lineage: Eukaryota; Fungi; Neocallimastigomycota; Neocallimastigomycetes
Description: eukaryotic LSU rRNA
Rfam family: Eukaryotic large subunit ribosomal RNA
Source: RNAcentral
GUUCUACCUUGACGAAUUGUAGUUUAAAGAAGUGUUUUCUGUUAGAUGAGUAGCAAAAGUUCCUUGGAAUGGGACAUCAUAGAGGGUGAGAAUCCCGUAUUUGGUUAUUCAUUCUAGCUUUGUGAUACACUUUCAAAGAGUCGGAUUGUUUGGGAAUGCAGUCCGAAAUGGGUGGUAAAUUUCAUCUAAAGCUAAAUAUUGGCGAGAGACCGAUAGCGAACAAGUACCGUGAGGGAAAGAUGAAAAGAACUUUGAAAAGAGAGUUAAACAGUACGUGAAAUUGUCAAAAGGGAAGCGUUUGACACCAGUGUUGUUUUUCCGAAAAUCAAUUACGAAUGGCUUGAUUUUGUGUUGUAUUGACCUUAUCAGCUUUCUUCACUUUUUUCGAGUCUUUCUU